Long non-coding RNA from Oreochromis niloticus (Nile tilapia), 160 nucleotides. RefSeq lists it as uncharacterized. The transcript is spliced from 3 exons. NCBI's taxonomy places the organism in Eukaryota, Metazoa, Chordata, Actinopteri, Cichliformes, Cichlidae. The record is from RefSeq and is a predicted model, not a curated record.
GACACACACAACUAGGGUGUGUGUGCGUGUGUUGUCAAACUGGUUAUGUAUCAAGCCUCAAGAUGGCGCUGCUGUUCAACAGAAGAUCAACAUUGCAACAUCAACAAGGGUUUGGAAUAAUCACCACUUGAUGAGUAUACCAGAGGGACAGCUCUGAUUG